UACGGAGGGCGCAAGCGUUGUUCGGAAUCAUUGGGCGUAAAGCGCGUGUAGGCGGCCAAUUAAGUCGGAUGUGAAAGCCCGGGGCCCAACCCCGGAACUGCAUUCGAUACUGAUUGGCUGGAGUCCCGGAGAGGAAGGCGGAAUUCCCGGUGUAGAGGUGAAAUUCGUAGAUAUCGGGAGGAACAUCAGUGGCGCAGGCGGCCUUCUGGACGGUGACUGACGAUGAGACGCGAAAGCGUGGGGAGCAAACAGG
This 253-nucleotide ribosomal RNA is filed under the name uncultured bacterium. RNAcentral's name for it is "partial 16S ribosomal RNA". It matches the Rfam family "Bacterial small subunit ribosomal RNA", at positions 524 to 776 of the family's 1533-position model. The record is from RNAcentral.